UUGUGGUUUGAUGUGGCUGUGGCAUUUGUCAUCCCAUUUAUCACCCAGGGUUCAUUCAACUGAUCUGGCUGGCUAGGCAGUUGUACCCUUCCUCCCUUAGUGCUCUAUGUGCAUCCCUCACAAAGCCAUAUGCAUUGUAGAAGAGGAUGAUUUUCCCUGAUAGAGGACCAUUUUUCAGUCAAGGGUAUACGAGUAGCUGUGUUCCCCUGCUAAAACCUCCAAACAAACUCUCAACUAACCCAUUUAUGUGGAGGAUCUGAUUGUUGUUUAACUGGAAUUUUCCCAACUCUCUCUUGAGAUGGCAGUUUGUU
This 311-nucleotide small nuclear RNA is filed under the name Neogale vison (American mink). RNAcentral's name for it is "Neovison vison (American mink) 7SK RNA (ENSNVIG00000010766.1)". It matches the Rfam family "7SK RNA". Rfam says of the family: 7SK was discovered as an abundant small nuclear RNA in the mid-70s but a possible function has only recently been suggested. Two independent studies have found that 7SK RNA binds the CDK9/cyclin T complex (known as elongation factor P-TEFb). P-TEFb activates transcription by phosphorylating the C-terminal domain of RNA polymerase II. Lineage: Eukaryota; Metazoa; Chordata; Mammalia; Carnivora; Mustelidae. The record is from RNAcentral.